CCUACGGGGGGCAGCAGUGAGGAAUAUUGGUCAAUGGGCGGGAGCCUGAACCAGCCAAGUCGCGUGAGGGAAGACGGUCCUACGGAUUGUAAACCUCUUUUGCCGGGGAGCAAUUGGGUCCUUGCGAGGUCCCAAUGAGAGUACCUGGAGAAAAAGCAUCGGCUAACUCCGUGCCAGCAGCCGCGGUAAUACGGAGGAUGCGAGCGUUAUCCGGAUUUAUUGGGUUUAAAGGGUGCGUAGGCGGGCUGUUAAGUCAGCGGUCAAAUGUCGGGGCUCAACCCCGUCCUGCCGUUGAAACUGGCGUC
This 305-nucleotide ribosomal RNA is filed under the name uncultured bacterium. Its description in RNAcentral is "bacterial SSU rRNA". It matches the Rfam family "Bacterial small subunit ribosomal RNA", at positions 338 to 640 of the family's 1533-position model. The record is from RNAcentral.